Molecule: ribosomal RNA, 491 nt
Filed under: uncultured bacterium
Lineage: Bacteria
Description: partial 16S ribosomal RNA
Rfam family: Bacterial small subunit ribosomal RNA
Source: RNAcentral
GUGAACGCUGGCGGUAGGCCUAACACAUGCAAGUCGAACGGCAGCACAGUAAGAGCUUGCUCUUACGGGUGGCGAGUGGCGGACGGGUGAGGAAUACAUCGGAAUCUACUUUUUCGUGGGGGAUAACGUAGGGAAACUUACGCUAAUACCGCAUACGACCUACGGGUGAAAGCAGGGGAUCUUCGGACCUUGCGCGAUUGAAUGAGCCGAUGUCGGAUUAGCUAGUUGGCGGGGUAAAGGCCCACCAAGGCGACGAUCCGUAGCUGGUCUGAGAGGAUGAUCAGCCACACUGGAACUGAGACACGGUUCAGACUCCUACGGGAGGCAGCAGUGGGGAAUAUUGGACAAUGGGCGCAAGCCUGAUCCAGCCAUACCGCGUGGGUGAAGAAGGCCUUCGGGUUGUAAAGCCCUUUUGUUGGGAAAGAAAAGCAGCAGGUUAAUACCCCGCUGUUCUGACGGUACCCAAAGAAUAAGCACCGGCUAACUUCGUG